GCAAUCUCACCUCCUCAACUUUAGUGGUUGACCAGUGUGGAUCUGGAUGCUGCCAUGUAACAAGUGGCUCAUCUGAAAAGUCUGAGUGUAUCCUGUCUAUGUGGUAUAUUCGGUGUAAUAAACCUUCACCGGAGAAGAUUUUAGGAUCAUGCCCAUAUGACAGGCUCUAUGCUUCCAACUGUCUCCAUAAGACAAUACUCUGACAAU
This 207-nucleotide unclassified non-coding RNA is filed under the name uncultured Sebacinales. Its description in RNAcentral is "sequence contains ITS2". Lineage: Eukaryota; Fungi; Basidiomycota; Agaricomycetes; Sebacinales. The record is from RNAcentral.